Molecule: ribosomal RNA, 423 nt
Filed under: uncultured bacterium
Lineage: Bacteria
Description: bacterial SSU rRNA
Rfam family: Bacterial small subunit ribosomal RNA
Source: RNAcentral
AAGACCUUACGCUUUUGGAGCGGCCGAUGCCUGAUUAGCUUGUUGGUAAGGUAAAGGCUUACCAAGGCUUCGAUCAGUAGCUGGUCUGAGAGGACGACCAGCCACACUGGGACUGAGACACGGCCCAGACUCCUACGGGAGGCAGCAGUGGGGAAUUUUGGACAAUGGGGGCAACCCUGAUCCAGCCAUGCCGCGUGAGUGAAGAAGGCCUUCGGGUUGUAAAGCUCUUUCAGCCGGAACGAAACGGUUACGGUUAAUACCCGUGAUUACUGACGGUACCGGAAGAAGAAGCACCGGCUAACUACGUGCCAGCAGCCGCGGUAAUACGUAGGGUGCGAGCGUUAAUCGGAAUUACUGGGCGUAAAGCGUGCGCAGGUGGUUUUGUAAGUCAGAUGUGAAAGCCCCGGGCUCAACCUGGGAACU